UUAGUUUAUUUAACUAUUAUUCAGAUUUAACAUGGUUAAAAAGAGUUUGUUAAGGCUACUGACGAGCACUGGCCAAAGGUCAAAAGACCCCCGGCGGUCCGGUGAAAGACGGGCCCGCCAAAGCAACAUGGUAGUUACACAAAGGGUUGGAGAUCGGGCCUGGAAGACCCUAACUCGUUAAUGAUCCUUCCGCAGGUUCACCUACGGAAA
This 210-nucleotide unclassified non-coding RNA is filed under the name uncultured fungus. RNAcentral's name for it is "sequence contains ITS1, 5.8S rRNA gene". Lineage: Eukaryota; Fungi. The record is from RNAcentral.